RNAcentral lists this ribosomal RNA (308 nucleotides) under uncultured bacterium. Its description in RNAcentral is "bacterial SSU rRNA". It matches the Rfam family "Bacterial small subunit ribosomal RNA", at positions 28 to 334 of the family's 1533-position model. The record is from RNAcentral.
GACGAACGCUGGCGGCGUGCUUAACACAUGCAAGUCGAACGGAAAGGCCUCUUGCUUGCAAGGGGUACUCGAGUGGCGAACGGGUGAGUAACACGUGGGUGAUCUGCCUUGUACUCUGGGAUAAGCUUGGGAAACUGGGUCUAAUACCGGAUAAUAGCCGCCUUUAGUGUGGUGGUUGGAAAGUUUUUUCGGUGCAAGAUGAGCACGCGGCCUAUCAGCUUGUUGGUGGGGUAAUGGCCUACCAAGGCGUCGACGGGUAGCCGGCCUGAGAGGGUGUACGGCCACAUUGGGACUGAGAUACGGCCCAG